AUUGAACGCUGGCGGAAUGCUUUACACAUGCAAGUCGAACGGUAGAGGGGGCAACCCCUCGAGAGUGGCGGACGGGUGAGUAAUAUAUCGGAACGUGCCCAGUCGUGGGGGAUAACGUAGCGAAAGUUGCGCUAAUACCGCAUACGAUCUAAGGAUGAAAGCGGGGGAUCGCAAGACCUCGCGCGAUUGGAGCGGCCGAUAUCAGAUUAGGUAGUUGGUGGGGUAAAGGCUCACCAAGCCAACGAUCUGUAGCUGGUCUGAGAGGACGACCAGCCACACUGGAACUGAGACACGGUCCAGACUCCUACGGGAGGCAGCAGUGGGGAAUUUUGGACAAUGGACGCAAGUCUGAUCCAGCCAUUCCGCGUGCAGGAUGAAGGCCCUCGGGUUGUAAACUGCUUUUGUACGGAACGAAAAGGUCUCUCUUAAUACGGGGGACUCAUGACGGUACCGUAAGAAUAAGCACCGGCUAACUACGUGCCAGCCGCCGCCGUAA
Molecule: ribosomal RNA, 496 nt
Filed under: uncultured bacterium
Lineage: Bacteria
Description: partial 16S ribosomal RNA
Rfam family: Bacterial small subunit ribosomal RNA
Source: RNAcentral